UUCUCCAUCCUCUCACCGCUCACAUCUCACAACCAAGACUUCUGCAAAUCUCACACCCUCACCUCACAGCCGGCCUCGACUAACUCGAUCACCUCACCGCAUCUCCGGCGAGGACACGGCCUCGACCACCGUCUCAUCAUCGAUUCACCGCCCCACGCCCUCAUCCGCUGUCUCCACCGCCACAGUGUCGCCGCCGCUGCUUCGAUCCACCGCUCCAGCCGCUGCUUCGUCCAUCAUAAAGGUAUAGCUUGGGCAGGAAGGUGUUUUGGUGUGUACCCAAAAUUCUACUGAAAUCUUUGGUGUGAGGUAAAAAAAUAUGUACUGUGGUCUGUGGUUGAUCUGAGCACUGCUUACACGUGAAGUCCUUCUGGGAAAUUUAUGUGAACUCCAGGUUCUCUCUUUCUUCAGCAUGAAUUCUUUCCAAUGAUAGAGCUGGGGGUAGUCCGAGUGGGAAUUGACAUAAAGGAUUGAGGCCAAGUGAUGUGUGUCUGUCUUUGAUGGAGGAGGCCUCAGGGAGUGGGUGAAAGCAACUUCCAAGAAUCACUUAGCACAUGUAGAUGUAUCUUGCUGAACAGGUAUUUGAAAGCAAUCCGUACUCUAUCGAUGAAAUUGAUGAGAUUCGAAACUAUUGGGCAAAGUACUUCUUGGAAGAGUGCAUGUAAUUAACUUGUUUUUUUGCUAGUUGGUUAAUUAAAAGUUUUUAGGUAAUGCAUGUGUUAACUAUAUAUUAGGAUGGAUUGUGAGAGUAUUGUAUGUGUUGAAAGUAUUUGGAUGGAUUAUGAUAGUGUUGAAAUUGUAUUAUUGAUAAUAUUGUGUUAGGUUGAUCGAUGGGAGUAUUGUUUUUAUAA
Molecule: long non-coding RNA, 848 nt
Organism: Ipomoea nil (Japanese morning glory)
Lineage: Eukaryota; Viridiplantae; Streptophyta; Magnoliopsida; Solanales; Convolvulaceae
Exons: 4
Source: RefSeq, a predicted model, not a curated record